GCUGGCGGCGUGCCUAAUACAUGCAAGUAGAACGCUGAAGAGAGGAGCUUGCUCUUCUUGGAUGAGUUGCGAACGGGUGAGUAACGCGUAGGUAACCUGCCUUGUAGCGGGGGAUAACUAUUGGAAACGAUAGCUAAUACCGCAUAACAAUGGAUGACACAUGUCAUUUAUUUGAAAGGGGCAAUUGCUCCACUACAAGAUGGACCUGCGUUGUAUUAGCUAGUAGGUGAGGUAAUGGCUCACCUAGGCGACGAUACAUAGCCGACCUGAGAGGGUGAUCGGCCACACUGGGACUGAGACACGGCCCAGACUCCUACGGGAGGCAGCAGUAGGGAAUCUUCGGCAAUGGGGGCAACCCUGACCGAGCAACGCCGCGUGAGUGAAGAAGGUUUUCGGAUCGUAAAGCUCUGUUGUAAGUCAAGAACGGGUGUGAGAGUGGAAAGUUCACACUGUGACGGUAGCUUACCAGAAAGGGACGGCUAACUACGUGCCAGCAGCCGCGGUAAUACGUAGGUCCCGAGCGUUGUCCGGAUUUAUUGGGCGUAAAGCGAGCGCAGGCGGUUUGAUAAGUCUGAAGUUAAAGGCUGUGGCUCAACCAUAGUUCGCUUUGGAAACUGUCAAACUUGAGUGCAGAAGGGGAGAGUGGAAUUCCAUGUGUAGCGGUGAAAUGCGUAGAUAUAUGGAGGAACACCGGUGGCGAAAGCGGCUCUCUGGUCUGUAACUGACGCUGAGGCUCGAAAGCGUGGGGAGCGAACAGGAUUAGAUACCCUGGUAGUCCACGCCGUAAACGAUGAGUGCUAGGUGUUGGAUCCUUUCCGGGAUUCAGUGCCGCAGCUAACGCAUUAAGCACUCCGCCUGGGGAGUACGACCGCAAGGUUGAAACUCAAAGGAAUUGACGGGGGCCCGCACAAGCGGUGGAGCAUGUGGUUUAAUUCGAAGCAACGCGAAGAACCUUACCAGGUCUUGACAUCCCGAUGCUAUUUCUAGAGAUAGAAAGUUACUUCGGUACAUCGGUGACAGGUGGUGCAUGGUUGUCGUCAGCUCGUGUCGUGAGAUGUUGGGUUAAGUCCCGCAACGAGCGCAACCCCUAUUGUUAGUUGCCAUCAUUCAGUUGGGCACUCUAGCGAGACUGCCGGUAAUAAACCGGAGGAAGGUGGGGAUGACGUCAAAUCAUCAUGCCCCUUAUGACCUGGGCUACACACGUGCUACAAUGGUUGGUACAACGAGUUGCGAGUCGGUGACGGCGAGCUAAUCUCUUAAAGCCAAUCUCAGUUCGGAUUGUAGGCUGCAACUCGCCUACAUGAAGUCGGAAUCGCUAGUAAUCGCGGAUCAGCACGCCGCGGUGAAUACGUUCCCGGGCCUUGUACACACCGCCCGUCACACCACGAGAGUUUGUAACACCCGAAGUCGGUGAGGUAACCUUUUGGAGCCAGCCGCCUAAGGUGGGAC
This 1449-nucleotide ribosomal RNA is filed under the name Streptococcus thermophilus. RNAcentral's name for it is "16S ribosomal RNA". It matches the Rfam family "Bacterial small subunit ribosomal RNA". The record is from RNAcentral. Lineage: Bacteria; Bacillati; Bacillota; Bacilli; Lactobacillales; Streptococcaceae.